GCCUGGCUGGCUCAGUCAGUAGAGCGUGCGACUGUUAAUCUCAAGGUCAUAAGUUCGAGCCUUAUGUUGGGCA
Neomonachus schauinslandi (Hawaiian monk seal) is the source of this 73-nucleotide non-coding RNA. The record is from the annotation of a RefSeq genome assembly. Lineage: Eukaryota; Metazoa; Chordata; Mammalia; Carnivora; Phocidae.